UACGUAGGGGGCAAGCGUUGUCCGGAAUCAUUGGGCGUAAAGCGCGCGUAGGCGGCCCGGUAAGUCCGUUGUGAAAGUCAAAGGCUCAACCUUUGAAAGCCGAUGGAUACUGCCGGGCUAGAAUCCGGAAGAGGCGAGUGGAAUUCCUGGUGUAGCGGUGGAAUGCGCAGAUAUCAGGAGGAACACCAAUAGCGAAGGCAGCUCGCUGGGACGGUAUUGACGCUAAGGCGCGAAAGCGUGGGGAGCAAACAGG
Molecule: ribosomal RNA, 253 nt
Filed under: uncultured bacterium
Lineage: Bacteria
Description: partial 16S ribosomal RNA
Rfam family: Bacterial small subunit ribosomal RNA
Source: RNAcentral